RNAcentral lists this long non-coding RNA (700 nucleotides) under Nicotiana tabacum (common tobacco). RNAcentral's name for it is "long non-coding RNA (NTAB_LNC006621)". The record is from RNAcentral. Lineage: Eukaryota; Viridiplantae; Streptophyta; Magnoliopsida; Solanales; Solanaceae.
AUUCAUUUUAGAGUUUAAAACCCUAAUGCUGAUUAAAGGAAAAAUUCAGUUUAGGGUUUAAAACCCUAAUGCUGAUUGCAUGGAAAAGCUCAGUUUAGGGUUUAAAACCCUAAUGCUGGCUGAAUGGAAAAAAGUUCAGUUUAGGGUUUAAAACCCUAAUGCUGACUAAAGGAAAAAUUCAGUUUAAGGUUUAAAACCCUAAUGCUGACUAAAGGAAAAAUUCAGUUUAGGGUUUAAAACCCUAAUGCUGAUUGCAUGGAAAAGCUCAGUUUAGGGUUUAAAACCCUAAUGCUGGCUGAAUGGAAAACGUUCAGUUUAGGGUUUAAAACCCUAAUGCUGACUAAAGGAAAAUUCAGUUUAGGGUUUAAAACCCUAAUGCUGACUGCAUGGAAGAGCUCAAUUUAGGGUUUAAAACCCUAAUGCUGGCUGAAUGGAAAAAGUUCAGUUUAGGGUUUAAAACCCUAAUGCUGACUAAAGGAAAAUUCAAUUUAGGGUUUAAAACCCUAAUGCUGACUAAAGGAAAAAUUCAGUUUAGGGUUUAAAACCCUAAUGCUGAUUGCAUAGAAAAGCUUAGUUUAGGGUUUAAAACCCUAAUGCUGGCUGAAAGGAAAACGUUCAGUUUAGGGUUUAAAACCCUAAUGCUGACUAAAAGGAAAAUUCAGUUUAGGGUUUAAAACCCUAAUGCUGAUUAAAAGGAAAA